UAGAAAAAGGUAAAAAGUUAGAAAAAGGUAAAAAGUUAGAAAAAGGUAAAAAGUUAGAAAAAGGUAAAAAGUUAGAAAAACGUAAAAAGUUAGAAAAAGGUAAAAAGUUAGAAAAAGGUAAAAAGUUAGAAAAAGGUAAAAAGUUAGAAAAAGGUAAAAAGUUAGAAAAAGGUAAAAAGUUAGAAAAAGGUAAAAAGUUAGAAAAAGGUAAAAAGUUAGAAAAAGGUAAAAAGUUAGAAAAAGGUAAAAGGUUAGAAAAAGGUAAAAGGUUAGAAAAAGGUAAAAGGUUAGAAAAAGGUAAAAAGUUAGAAAAAGGUAAAAAGUUAGAAAAAGGUAAAAAGUUAGAAAAACGUAAAAAGUUAGAAAAAGGUAAAAAGUUAGAAAAAGGUAAAAAGUUAGAAAAAGGUAAAAAGUUAGAAAAAGGUAAAAAGUUAGAAAAAGGUAAAAAGUUAGAAAAAGGUAAAAAGUUAGAAAAAGGUAAAAAGUUAGAAAAAGGUAAAAAGUUAGAAAAAGGUAAAAAGUUAGAAAAAGGUAAAAGGUUAGAAAAAGGUAAAAGGUUAGAAAAAGGUAAAAAGUUAGAAAAAGGUAAAAAGUUAGAAAAAGGUAAAAAGUUAGAAAAAGGUAAAAAGUUAGAAAAAGGUAAAAAGUUAGAAAAAGGUAAAAAGUUAGAAAAACGUAAAAAGUUAGAAAAAGGUAAAAAGUUAGAAAAAGGUAAAAAGUUAGAAAAAGGUAAAAAGUUAGAAAAAGGUAAAAAGUUAGAAAAAGGUAAAAAGUUAGAAAAAGGUAAAAAGUUAGAAAAACGUAAAUAGUUAGAAAAACGUAAAAAGUUAGAAAAACGUAAAAAGUUAGAAAAAGGUAAAAAGUUAGAAAAAGGUAAAAAGUUAGAAAAACGUAAAAAGUUAGAAAAACGUAAAUAGUUAGAAAAACGGAAAAAGUUAGAAACACGUAAAAAGUUAGAAAAACGUAAAUAGUUAGAAAAACGUAAAAAGUUAGAAAAACGUAAAAAGUUAGAAAAAGGUAAAAAGUUAGAAAAAGGUAAAAAGUUAGAAAAAGGUAAAAAGUUAGAAAAAGGUAAAAAGUUAGAAAAAGGUAAAAAGUUAGAAAAAGGUAAAAAGUUAGAAAAAGGUAAAAAGUUAGAAAAAGGUAAAAAGUUAGAAAAACGUAAAAAGUUAGAAAAACGUAAAAAGUUAGAAAAACGUAAAAAGUUAGAA
This is a non-coding RNA of Doryrhamphus excisus (bluestripe pipefish), 1211 nucleotides long. Lineage: Eukaryota; Metazoa; Chordata; Actinopteri; Syngnathiformes; Syngnathidae. The record is from RefSeq and is a predicted model, not a curated record.